RNAcentral lists this ribosomal RNA (405 nucleotides) under uncultured bacterium. RNAcentral's name for it is "partial 16S ribosomal RNA". It matches the Rfam family "Bacterial small subunit ribosomal RNA", at positions 30 to 526 of the family's 1533-position model. The record is from RNAcentral.
AUUGAACGCUGGCGGCAGGCUUAACACAUGCAAGUCGAACGAGUGGCGGACGGGUGAGUAAUGCUUGGGAAUCUAGCUUAUGGAGGGGGAUAACUACGGGAAACUGUAGCUAAUACCGCGUACCAUAGGAUGAGCCCAAGUGGGAUUAGGUAGUUGGUGGGGUAAAGGCUCACCAAGCCGACGAUUGCUAGCUGGUCUGAUAUGAUUACCAGCCACAAUGGGGCUGAGACACGGCCCAGACUCCUACGGGAGGCAGCAGUUGGGAAUAUUGCGCAAUGGGGGCAACCUGACGCAGCCAUGCCGCGUGAAUGAAGAAGGCCUUCGGGUUGUAAAGUUCUUUCGGUAGCGAAGCGGUAACUAAAGAAGAAUCACCGGCUAACGCCGUGCCAGCAGGCGCGGUAAUAC